Molecule: ribosomal RNA, 1246 nt
Filed under: uncultured bacterium
Lineage: Bacteria
Description: bacterial SSU rRNA
Rfam family: Bacterial small subunit ribosomal RNA
Source: RNAcentral
GAAACGACUGCUAAGACUGGAUAGGAAGAUAAGAGGCAUCUUUUAUCUUUUAAAAGACCUAGUAAUAGGUAUGCUUUAGGAGGGGCUUGCGCCAUAUUAGUUAGUUGGUAGGGUAAUGGCCUACCAAGACGAUGAUGUGUAGCUGGACUGAGAGGUUGAACAGCCACAUUGGGACUGAGACACGGCCCAAACUCCUACGGGAGGCAGCAGUAGGGAAUUUUCGGCAAUGGAGGAAACUCUGACCGAGCAACGCCGCGUGAAUGACGAAGUACUUCGGUAUGUAAAGUUCUUUUAUCAAGGAAGAAAAGCAAAUGGCGAACCAUUUGUUUGCCGGUACUUGAUGAAUAAGCCCCGGCUAAUUAUGUGCCAGCAGCCGCGGUAAGACAUAAGGGGCAAGUGUUAUCCGGAAUUAUUGGGCGUAAAGGGUGCGUAGGCGGUCUAGUAAGUCAGUGGUGUAAUGGCAACGCUUAACGUUGUCCGGCUAUUGAAACUGCUAAACUUGAGUUAGAUAGAGGCGAGUGGAAUUCCAUGUGUAGCGGUAAAAUGCGUAAAUAUAUGGAGGAACACCAGAGGCGUAGGCGGCUCGCUGGGUCUUAACUGACGCUGAGGCACGAAAGCGUGGGGAGCAAACAGGAUUAGAUACCCUGGUAGUCCACGCCGUAAACGAUGAGUACUAAGUGUCGGGUUAAACCGGUACUGAAGUUACCACAUUAAGUACUCCGCCUGAGUAGUACGUACGCAAGUAUGAAACUUAAAGGAAUUGACGGGACUCCGCACAAGCGGUGGAUCAUGUUGUUUAAUUCGAAGAUACCCGAAAAACCUUACCAGGUCUUGACAUGUUUUUGCAAAAUGAUAGUAAUAUCGUGGAGGUUACCAGAAACACAGGUGGUGCAUGGUUGUCGUCAGCUCGUGUCGUGAGAUGUUAGGUUAAGUCCUAAAACGAGCGAAACCCUUAUCGUUAGUUGCCAGCACGUUAUGGUGGGGACUUUAACGAGACUGCCAAUGAUAAAUUGGAGGAAGGUGAGGAUCACGUCAAAUCAGCAUGCCCCUUAUGACCUGGGCUACAAACGUGAUACAAUGGCUGUUACAAAGGGUAGCUGAACGCAAGUUCUUGGCCAAUCCCCAAAAACAGUCCCAGUCCGGAUUGAAGUCUGCAACUCGACUUCAUGAAGUUGGAAUCGCUAGUAAUCGCGAAUCAGCAUGUCGCGGUGAAUACGUUCACGGGGUUUGUACACACCGCCCGUCA